Molecule: ribosomal RNA, 376 nt
Filed under: uncultured bacterium
Lineage: Bacteria
Description: bacterial SSU rRNA
Rfam family: Bacterial small subunit ribosomal RNA
Source: RNAcentral
UACGUAGGGGGCGAGCGUUGUCCGGAUUUACUGGGCGUAAAGAGCGCGUAGGCGGCCUGUUAAGUUGGCUGUGAAAGUCCCUGGCUCAACUGGGGAAGGUCGGUCGAAACUGGCAGGCUAGAGGGCGGUAGAGGAAGGUGGAAUUCCGGGUGUAGUGGUGAAAUGCGUAGAUAUCCGGAGGAACACCAGUGGCGAAGGCGGCCUUCUGGGCCGUACCUGACGCUGAGGCGCGAAAGCGUGGGGAGCGAACCGAAUUAGAUACUCGGGUAGUCCACGCCCUAAACGAUGGACGCUAGGUGUAGGGGGUAUCGACCCCUCCUGUGCCGAAGCAAACGCAUUAAGCGUCCCGCCUGGGGAGUACGGCCGCAAGGCUAAA